This is a long non-coding RNA of Syngnathus typhle (broad-nosed pipefish), 941 nucleotides long. RefSeq lists it as uncharacterized. NCBI's taxonomy places the organism in Eukaryota, Metazoa, Chordata, Actinopteri, Syngnathiformes, Syngnathidae. The transcript is spliced from 3 exons. The record is from RefSeq and is a predicted model, not a curated record.
CAAGCUGUAGUCUUGGAUGAGACCGCCUACCUGGCUUCCUGCUUGGCCUGCACCUAGAUGAAGAGGACUGCCUGGCCUCCAUCGGGACGAAGUCAUGACUGCCUGCCUUACCUGCAUCUGGAUGAUGCAAGCCGUGACUGCCUGCCUGCCCGCCUGCUUGCCUUACCUGCAUCUGGAUGAUGCAAGCCGUGACUGCCUGCCUGCCUGACUGCCCACCUGCCUGCCUGGCCUAAACCUAGCCAGGACUGCCUCGGAUGUGCCUGGACUAAGCCAGGACUGCCUCGCAUGCGCCUGGAUAAAGCCAAGACUGCCUUGGAUGCGCUUGGACGAAGACAGGACUGCCUCAAAUGCGCCUGGACGAAGCCAGGACUGCCUCGGAUGCGCCUGCACGAAGCCAGUACUGUCUUGAAUGCGCCUGGGCGAAACCAGGACUACCUCGGAUGCGCCUGGACGACGCCAAGACUGCCUUGAUUGCGCCUGUACGAUGCCAGGACUGCCUCAGAUGCGCCUGGGCGACGCCUGGACUGCCUCGAAAGCGCAUGGAUGACGCCAGGCCUCCCUGCCUGCCUGCUUUGGAUGUGCCUGUCUGCCUUCCUGCCUGCCUUGGAUGCGCCUGCCUGCCUGGCUGCCUGCCUGCCUGAUCUGAAUACUUGAGGAGAACAGCAAACAAUGUGUCUGACCCGAUGGCAGGAAUACAACAAUCACUGUUACUUCUUCGGAACGAAGUAUCUGUACUGGAACAAAUGCUGAGAAAUACAAGGGAGGCCACCUGGCGAGCAUUAGGGACAUACAGGAGCAGGAGUGGCUGGCGCAGCAAAUAUGGAACACUACUAAUAGCUGGAUUGGCCUGCAACGUGCGGCACCUGGGAGCACUGUGGCAGUGGACAGACAGAACACCUUUCUCCUACUCGUGAGUGUCCUUAAGUGAGAAAGUGCGACAA